RNAcentral lists this unclassified non-coding RNA (956 nucleotides) under Hevea brasiliensis (rubber tree). Lineage: Eukaryota; Viridiplantae; Streptophyta; Magnoliopsida; Malpighiales; Euphorbiaceae. The record is from RNAcentral.
UGAAUGCUUAAAAAAAAAAGAAGAAAGAUUGACUUGAGCUUGAGUUUGACUUGAUCUCACUAAUUGAGUUGGUCUCAAGUUUGGCUCAUUUAGUCUCUUUUGUUGCUAGGUUAGUGGGGCUAAAGGCAAGUCGAUUACGAGUUCAUUAAAAUAUAAGUGAGCUUAGCUCAAGCUCAAAUAUCUAAGCUUGAAUUGUUGAGCUCAUUAUAAGAUAAGCCUUAGCUCUUCAUGCUUCACUUGGCUUGGCUCAACCCAUUUGUAGCCUUAUAUAAAAUGUAUCUUGAUCUUCAUUGCUCAUGCACUGAAGUUUUCAGGGCUACAUCAUGUAUGGAUGGUUAAAUAUAGUGCAGCCAGUAUUCAUUGCCCUUGCUGCUCCAUAAUUACUUUUGGCCACAUUUGGAUAUGGGACUUCUAAAAUUCAUGGAAUUCCAAAUCUAGGGUUUUGAUAAGUUUUAAUUCCAUGGAUUUACAUAAUCUCACUUGUUUGUUAUGUUGGUAAAUCAAUGGAAUUGAAGGAAAUUUUUGAAAGGAAAAAAAAAAGGAUUGUAGAAUCCCCUCAAAUCCAUGGAUUCUAUGAAAUCCCUCAUCCAAAAAGCCCUCCAACCAAGCAUGACCUUAGGUACUUCUUGAUGGAAUAGACCAAUUAUUGUGUACCUCUAUAAGUACAAACUGCUGCUUCAAUGUGUAUGUCAUGUUCAUUGGUUAAGAUAAGAUGACCAAAAGUUUAGAGGGAUUUCAGAGCCUAUGGGGAAAUGCAAAUCCCUUAGGGUCUUUCAGAUGCCAAAUCAUUUUCCAUAUCAGUUUUUCAUAGCUUUCUAAGUCAUGUUAAGUUCCUUUUUCAUGAUAGAACUCCAUUAGUAUAGUUCAACAAUGUUUGUAGUAUAAAUUUUCAUGAAAAUGCAAUAAAUUAAUAAUUAUAUUAUUGUUGAAAUUUUGAAGAAGAAGAAGAAGAAGAA